Podarcis lilfordi (Lilford's wall lizard) is the source of this 74-nucleotide non-coding RNA. Lineage: Eukaryota; Metazoa; Chordata; Lepidosauria; Squamata; Lacertidae. The record is from the annotation of a GenBank genome assembly.
GCCGGGAUAGCUCAGUCAAUAGAGCAUGACACUCUUAAUCUCAGGGCUCAUGGGUUCAAGUCCCAAGUUGGACA